GAUGAAGAACGUAGUUAAAUGCGAUACUUGGUGUGAAUUGCAGAAUCCCGUGAACCAUCGAGUCUUUGAACGCAAGUUGCGCCCGAAGCCAUCAGGUUGAGGGCACGUCUGCCUGGGCGUCACAUAUCGUUGCCCAAUGCCUAUUGCAGUGCAAUAGGAAUUUCUAGGGCGAAUGAUGGCUUCCCGUGAGCGUUGUUGCCUCGCGGUUGGUUGAAAAUCGAGUCCUUGGUAGGGUGUGCCAUGGUAGAUGGUGGUCGAGUUAGAACGAUACCGAUCAUGUGCAUGCUCCCCAAAAUAUGGCCUCUAUGACCCACACGCGUCUUUUGACGCUCAUGACGAGACCUCAGGUCAGGCGGGGCUACCCGCUGAAUUUAAGCAUAUCAAUAAGCGGAGGA
Molecule: unclassified non-coding RNA, 395 nt
Filed under: soil metagenome
Description: partial contains 5.8S ribosomal RNA, internal transcribed spacer 2, and large subunit ribosomal RNA
Rfam family: 5.8S ribosomal RNA (bases 1-122)
Source: RNAcentral